GAAACCAACCCGUGAUUGCCUCAGUAACGGCGAGUGAAGCGGCAAGAGCUCAAAUUUGAAAUCCGGCUCCCUCUAGGGGGCCCGAGUUGUAAUUUGCAGAGGAUGCUUCGGGGCGUCGCUGCGGUCUAAGUGCCCUGGAACGGGCUGUCGUAGAGGGUGAGAACCCCGUCUUCGGCCGGCCAGCGAUGUCCGUGUGAGGCCCCUUCGACGAGUCGAGUUGUUUGGGAAUGCAGCUCUAAAUGGGUGGUAAAUUUCAUCUAAAGCUAAAUAUGGGUCGGAGACCGAUAGCGCACAAGUAGAGUGAUCGAAAGAUGAAAAGCACUUUGAAAAGAGAGUUAAACAGCAUGUGAAAUUGUUGAAAGGGAAGCGCUUGCGACCAGAGUCUCCCCCCAGGGUUCAGCGGGCUUUCGUGGCCCGUGCAGUCCCUGGAGGGAGGGCCAGCGUCGGUUUGGGUGGCCGGUCAAAGGCCCCUGGAAUGUAUCGUCUCCCGGGACGUCUUAUAGCCAGGGGUGCCAUGCGGCCUGCCCGGACCGAGGAACGCGCUCCGGCACGGACGCUGGCUUAAUGGUCGUCAGCGACCCGUCUUGAAACACGGACCAAGGAGUCUAACAUCCACGCGAGUGUUCGGGUGUCAAACCCGUCCGCGCAGUGAAAGCGAACGGAGGUGAGAGCCUUUUCUUUGAGGGGGUGCAUCAUCGACCGAUCCUGAAGUCUUCGGAUGGAUUUGAGUAGGAGCGUGGCUGUGGGGACCCGAAAGAUGGUGAACUAUGCCUGAAUAGGGUGAAGCCAGAGGAAACUCUGGUGGAGGCUCGCAGCGGUUCUGACGUGCAAAUCGAUCGUCAAAUUUGGGUAUAG
This 855-nucleotide unclassified non-coding RNA is filed under the name Dactylodendron pluriseptatum. RNAcentral's name for it is "Ajellomycetaceae sp. ERA-2017b sequence contains 28S rRNA gene". It matches the Rfam family "Eukaryotic large subunit ribosomal RNA", at positions 61 to 920 of the family's 3401-position model. The record is from RNAcentral. Lineage: Eukaryota; Fungi; Ascomycota; Eurotiomycetes; Onygenales; Eremascaceae.